CUCCAAGAAACCUAUCAAAUGAACCCUGAUACUUCACUUUUGUGCUUUCUACCAGACUAUGAGUCAUAUACAUUGUAGCUUCUCAUGAUACACUCCUUAUUAGACAGUGGGAUGUGCAUCAACACUCCAUACUAUUUAAUUUAGACAGUUCAUACUUCCUAACAGACUAUGAAUCGCUGAGAUCCUGCUUUUCCUAUCACUUCACUUUCAGCUCAAUCUUUAGAGCGUAAACAAUUUACAGUUGAAUUCUAACAUUAGAAAGUACAAGAUAAGAACUUUCCAAUAGUAUCUCACAGUCCAAAUAUUUUCGAAUUGCCAGAAUGAGGGCCCAAAAGGCAUAUACCUAAGCUAUAAAGCCAUUUAUGGCGCCCAACAACCUCAGGUGGCACCAAGGAGAAGGCUCCAGUAACCCCAUGGCAUGAUGCUCUAUUUUUUCUAUAAAUAACAUCCCCACUAUUUUUAACCGCACCCCCUGCACACAGUGCAUUCUACAUCUAUCCUCUCUACAAACUUAUUAGUGCAUAUCUCUUAGUUACUCUGCAUGAAUUCCACUAAAAGAUACAAAGAUACUCUUUAAAUUCCUGCAUAUUCUCUGGCACUAUCUUCCUUUUUGAAGAGGUAAAUUCAAAUAUCAUUACUUUUUCCUUUUAAAUUUCUUGCAAAUAAUUAUUGUUUUGAUGUUACUCUGCUUAAUAUUAUACUUGUCUUUACCAUACCAUUUGCUAUCAUUUACAUUGGCACACCAACAAAUAAGAUCCUUAAGACCACCUAUGGUUUUGGUUGUUCUGAGGAGCAUGGCCCCCAUAAUGUCAAUAUAUUAAAAGAUAGAAAUUUUGGACAAGUACAAGCUGAUGAGAAGCUGAACUUCCAAAUGAUCUGAAUAGUAGAUUUCCUCACAUGGUUAAUCUAGGAAAUUUUCCACAACAAAUUACAAUUCAAGCCUUAUUCUAAAAUUUGACCCUUAGAAAAAUUUUAGGAUAAUCACUUUAAGCAUAAACAACGCAUUAUGAUAAAGUACCAUCUUUUGAAUGGCAUUCUGCAGUAAAACAUUCUCCACGCACAAGCAAUAUCCUUUCCCGUAUUUUAAAUCCACCAACCAAGCCUUAUUUUGUGUUUUUUCUAGGAUUUUGAGAAAUGAGAGCCCACAUAUAUUAUUUAGACUGUUACGCUUAUGUUUCCUCAAAAAAUAUAAGGCAGCCCAAGUUCCCUAGAUUCACAACCAUUACAACAAAUAUGAACGCUACCAAGGCUUCCAACAUCCAUAAAAAUGAGUCUUCAUUUUUAUUGCAGCACUUUUUCUUCAUUUUUAAAUUUAUGAGUACCGCAAUGAUACGAAUUUCCAAAAUAUUAUUAAUGUAGAACCAAUAGGUAUAAUGGGGAUUUGAGGAUGAGAAACAAAUUCUCAGUUCUCAUUGCUCAAAUCAAUAAUCAAAAUCAUAAUAAGUUCUGCAAACAAAAAAGAGAAAGUAAGCCCUAUUUAUAGAGUUUUGAAACCCUAAAUACAUUAGGAUUUUUAGGAACCCUAAAUUAACUACAAUUAGGACUUAGGCACUAAAUAAAACUUCUAAUUAAUAUAAACUACUUCCUAUAAUUUCUCCUAAAAUAAGUAGUCCUAAAAU
RNAcentral lists this unclassified non-coding RNA (1619 nucleotides) under Hevea brasiliensis (rubber tree). Lineage: Eukaryota; Viridiplantae; Streptophyta; Magnoliopsida; Malpighiales; Euphorbiaceae. The record is from RNAcentral.